UACGUAGGGCGCAAGCGUUGUCCGGAAUUAUUGGGCGUAAAGAGCUCGUAGGCGGUUUGUUACGUCCGCUGUGAAAACCCAGGGCUUAACCCUGGGCUUGCAGUGGAUACGGGCAGACUAGAGGCAGGUAGGGGAGAAUGGAAUUCCCGGUGUAGCGGUGAAAUGCGCAGAUAUCGGGAGGAACACCGGUGGCGAAGGCGGUUCUCUGGGCCUUACCUGACGCUGAGGAGCGAAAGCGUGGGGAGCGAACAGG
RNAcentral lists this ribosomal RNA (253 nucleotides) under uncultured bacterium. RNAcentral describes it as "partial 16S ribosomal RNA". It matches the Rfam family "Bacterial small subunit ribosomal RNA", at positions 524 to 776 of the family's 1533-position model. The record is from RNAcentral.